This is a long non-coding RNA of Oncorhynchus tshawytscha (Chinook salmon), 720 nucleotides long. The record is from Ensembl. Lineage: Eukaryota; Metazoa; Chordata; Actinopteri; Salmoniformes; Salmonidae.
GUAACCCUGGUCAUAAACAACCCUGGUCAUAAUCACCCUGGUUGUAACCCUCAUCAUAAUCACCCUGGCUGUAACCCUGGUCAUAAUCACCCUGGCAGUAACCCUGGUCAUAAACAACCCUGGUCAUAAUCACCCUGGUUGUAACCCUCAUCAUAAUCACCCUGGCUGUAACCCUGGUCAUAAUCACCCUGGCUGUAACCCUGGUCAUAAUCACCCUGGCUGUAACUCUGGUCAUAAUCACCCUGGCUGUAACUCUGGUCAUAAUCACCCUGGCUGUAACUGGUCAUAAUCACCCUGGCUGUAACUCUGGUCAUAAUCACCCUGGCACCCAGAACCAAAUCUCACAAUGGUAUUACUUUAAACCUGAAAGGAGUGUAUAUGUGCACAGAAUGUUGUUAUUAUUCAUGUUGCUUUUUGAAGUUUUGAUGGUGGAAGUUUGGCCGUAUUACUUUGGGUUGACUUGGGAUUCAACAUCAACAUCGGUCCUCGAUGGUGCAGGUACUAGGGCCCAGUUGGUAACUGGCUGAUGUGGUACAUAUUGAUGUGAUGAUGAUGAUAAUCAUUGGCGUUUAUAAAACAGAUUUCAAAGCGCUUUUAAUUAUAUAGCAGCAUGUGAAAUGAUGGGGCACAACGAUACGUUGUGAAAUGAUGGGGCACAACGAUAUGUUGUGAAAUGAUGGGGUACAACGAUAUGUUGUGAAAUGAUGGGGCACAACGAUA